GAUCCUGGCUCAGGACGAACGCUGGCGGCGUGCCUAACACAUGCAAGUCGAGCGAGAAAGCCCCUUCGGGGGUUAGUAAAGCGGCGGACGGGUGAGUAACACGUGAGCGAUCUACCCAAGGGUGGGGGACAACUCAGGGAAACCUGAGCUAAUACCGCGUAUAGCGCCGGCUUGGAAGCCUGGCGUGAAAGGUGGCCUCUACAUGUAAGCUAUCGCCUUUGGAUGAGCUCGCGGCCUAUCAGCUUGUUGGUGGGGUAAUGGCCUACCAAGGCGAUGACGGGUAGCUGGCGUGAGAGCGCGACCAGCCACACUGGGACUGAGACACGGCCCAGACUCCUACGGGAGGCAGCAGUGGGGAAUAUUGCGCAAUGGGCGAAAGCCUGACGCAGCGACGCCGCGUGGGGGAGGAAGGCCUCAGGGUUGUAAACCCCUGUCAGGUGGGACGAAUCCCGUAGUGUCUAAUAGGCAUUACGAAUGACGGUACCACCAGAGGAAGCUCCGGCUAACUCAGUGCCAGCAGCCGCGGUAAUACUGGGGGAGCGAGCGUUGUUCGGAAUUAC
RNAcentral lists this ribosomal RNA (560 nucleotides) under uncultured bacterium. Its description in RNAcentral is "bacterial SSU rRNA". It matches the Rfam family "Bacterial small subunit ribosomal RNA", at positions 15 to 554 of the family's 1533-position model. The record is from RNAcentral.